Long non-coding RNA from Portunus trituberculatus (swimming crab), 907 nucleotides. RefSeq lists it as uncharacterized. The record is from RefSeq and is a predicted model, not a curated record. The transcript has 2 exons. Lineage: Eukaryota; Metazoa; Arthropoda; Malacostraca; Decapoda; Portunidae.
GGCACUGUGAUCAUGGCGAGCUCUAAAAUGCGGUCUACAUUUUGAUAGCAUUUGAAAAAGUCAACAGCAGUUUCCAGCACUGAAAGGACUGUGUGCAAAGUCUUCACCUGAGAAGAAAAGGUCAGUCUCCUCCAAGUUGCUGCUACCACACUUCCUCCCAGGUCCACUCCCAGGUUGCUUCUGCCUGUCUCAUACAGGAAGCAAAUCUCUACAAGCGAUGAAGCAGUUUAACAACAUGUCGAGUAAUACUUCUGCUACCAUAAGUAGUGUUCGUUGACUUUUCAAGGCUGUCAACACUCAUCACAUAUGUAGCCCUGUCCUGUCAUUAACUCCUCUAACAGUUGAUAACUUGUGCUGUUAUUCAUGGUUUUGUACUAUGUACAUCACACUCUGACCUCCUAGGUAUCCCGCUACCCUCUACCCUCCCAGUGAAUAGGAUGCAGUGUGUCUGUACCCUUACAUAAGAUGUGACAUGAGGUGAAACCAUAUGAAAAGAAAACUACAGGUGAUACCAUUUUCUUUUAGUUGUUUCUCCCCAAAGGGAGAGAAAAAAAUGCUUACCAGAGGUUCCCUUGGGUAGAAAUGUUGUGCCAGGAAGUCCACCACUUCCUGUGAUUCUUCUUUCUUCAGGAUGGAGUACUUCAGGGCAUCUGAGUCCACCAUAUUGUAUUCUGGAGAGAGAAAUAGAGAAUUAUGGAGAGCAGUAAGGUUUAUGCAGGAUGUAUAUGUGAAGUAUUUGUCUGGUUAGGGAGAGAUGAGGGUAGUGUGUAAAGGAGAUAAUGAAGGCACCAUAAUAAUAUAUGAUUUAUCUUUUUAGUGAAGUGGAAAAAUUAUGUAAAGAUUGCAUUGUAAUGAUAUUUUAUCUCACAGCAUUGUAUUUGCUGAAGCAAAUAAAUGAUUGAAUUAA